Molecule: long non-coding RNA, 282 nt
Filed under: Selaginella moellendorffii
Lineage: Eukaryota; Viridiplantae; Streptophyta; Lycopodiopsida; Selaginellales; Selaginellaceae
Description: long non-coding RNA (SMOE_LNC000060)
Source: RNAcentral
CGAAUCCGCGGAUAUUCGUGUUACCACCCACCAGGUACACUGCUGGUUUCGUCUUUCAUCUGUUUUCACAUUCCCAGGCCCCUCGACCAGGUGGCGUAUCUCCUGAACGGCAAGAUAUCUCUUCGAUCCAACCAAGCCGCCUCCUGGACUUCAAACAAUUACUGGAAGGCCGAUACAGACAAGUGGGUCGCACCUAGAGGUGACACUCCCGACUACGCUGAAUGCCAGUUCGAUCCAGUCCGAGUGAACAGCACCACACUCGCUCUCAAGGGUCCCAAUGGC